AUUGAACGCUGGCGGCAGGCCUAACACAUGCAAGUCGAGCGGUAGAGAGGUGCUUGCAUCUCUUGAGAGCGGCGGACGGGUGAGUAAUGCCUAGGGAUCUGCCUAGUGGUGGGGGAUAACGUUCGGAAACGGACGCUAAUACCGCAUACGUCCUACGGGAGAAAGCGGGGGAUCUUCGGACCUCGCGCCAUUAGAUGAGCCUAGGUCGGAUUAGCUAGUUGGUGAGGUAAUGGCUCACCAAGGCGACGAUCCGUAACUGGUCUGAGAGGAUGAUCAGUCACACUGGAACUGAGACACGGUCCAGACUCCUACGGGAGGCAGCAGUGGGGAAUAUUGGACAAAUGGGCGAAAGCCUGAUCCAGCCAUGCCGCGUGUGUGAAGAAGGUCUUCGGAUUGUAAAGCACUUUAAGUUGGGAGGAAGGGUAGGUAACCUAAUACGUUGCUACUUUGACGUUACCGACAGAUAAGCACCGGCUAACUUCG
This 483-nucleotide ribosomal RNA is filed under the name uncultured bacterium. RNAcentral describes it as "bacterial SSU rRNA". It matches the Rfam family "Bacterial small subunit ribosomal RNA", at positions 30 to 505 of the family's 1533-position model. The record is from RNAcentral.